Molecule: unclassified non-coding RNA, 350 nt
Filed under: Hevea brasiliensis (rubber tree)
Lineage: Eukaryota; Viridiplantae; Streptophyta; Magnoliopsida; Malpighiales; Euphorbiaceae
Source: RNAcentral
UCCUUUCAAGUGCCAACAAUACCUCAGCAAUACCAUAGUGUUGAAAGCUAUCUCGAGUUGUUAAAGAACGAGCCAAUCCAAUGUCUGCAGGACUAGCAGGUCUAUGACUAAGUAUAUUCUCAUUCAUACUAUCUGACCUUCUGUAAGAAAUUGGGUGGUCUGAAAUCAACUCUGUAGAGACUUCAAGUGCAUUAUUAUCUAUAGAGCUGUUGGGUUGAUGGCCUUGCGACACCUGAGAGAUCAUGGACCGCGACUCAUGCAAAGAUGUACUGUUUCUGUCAGGUCUGUUGCCAUGCGAUCUUGCUCUUGACGUCCCAUUAAUUGAUGUCCUAGAGCGACCUGAUGCAAUG